Bolinopsis microptera is the source of this 1028-nucleotide long non-coding RNA. RefSeq lists it as uncharacterized. The transcript has 5 exons. The record is from RefSeq and is a predicted model, not a curated record. Lineage: Eukaryota; Metazoa; Ctenophora; Tentaculata; Lobata; Bolinopsidae.
CAUUUUAGGUAUGUGUGUGUGAAACAUCAGAACUGAAUAAUGGACCAGAGAAUUCAGAGAUCUUUGGUUACCUGUUUCCGGUUUCGUCGGUUCACACUUCACAUUGCUGCGUUCCUGACCUAGCUUCGCCUGCAUCAGUAGAUCAUAUUAUAAUAUGCAUUAUAGACUAUAGUUAUACAGCUUGAAUUUGAAAGAGCUACAUGGUUGUUGUUUCGAGUGCUUUUUCAUCUGCUGUGAUGAAUUGGCAGACAGCAUCAACGGUUACCAACAUAAUAGGUGCAUUGCAAGUUGUGCAAUGCUGAAUGCAUACGUUUCGUCAGUGACUUCCUUCUGCCUCAUUGAUGCGAAACUGAUAAUAAACAUGCAAGAGAAUACAGCUAUAGUUACUCUGGACUGCCAUGAUAGAAACAUUGAAACAGAUAUUGACUGGCUUUAGGUAUGUGAGACGUUUUUAUUGGUGUUGCAAACGAUGUAACGAUCACUAAAUUCUGUGCCUAUGUGAGAUUUGUUGGUUCAUCGAAUAACAUCAAAGUUACAGUUGUUACUCUACGUUUCCCUCAUUAAUUACUCUUCCACUCAAACUUCUCUGGGAUUGGUGGAAAAAGAAGAGAAAACUUCGACUGAAAUACGAUAAGGAAGGUAAACGGUCAAGCAAAGUGUGCAAGGUCGUUGAUGGAGUAUUCUAUGUGAAAUCCUCUCACCGGUCUGAGCCCCACCAACUGAACAUCAGAGGACCAACUUGCACCUGCAGACAUAUUUUUCAAGCUAUUGAUGAUGGUUUAAUGAAAUGCAAUGGGAGGACCUACCUGAAGAUUACAGAAACAUACUGUUCUUCGUAAAAGAUAAAGGAAGUGAUAUUGGGAUAUGGCCAGCUGAUGCAGAUGUAAACAAAUGCUGCGAUUAUCCAGCAUCAGAAGACGAGGAUGAAGAAGUAGAAGAUGAUGAGGUUGGAGGAAAUGGGGAUAAAAGAAAGAAGAAACGGGACAUAGACUAUAAAGGAGAUUGGCGGGAGCUUUCAAACAGAAUAA